This 420-nucleotide RNase P RNA is filed under the name Candidatus Parcubacteria bacterium. Its description in RNAcentral is "RNase P RNA component class A". It matches the Rfam family "Bacterial RNase P class A". From Rfam's summary of the family: Ribonuclease P (RNase P) is a ubiquitous endoribonuclease, found in archaea, bacteria and eukarya as well as chloroplasts and mitochondria. Its best characterised activity is the generation of mature 5'-ends of tRNAs by cleaving the 5'-leader elements of precursor-tRNAs. The record is from RNAcentral. Lineage: Bacteria; Candidatus Parcubacteria.
UAGGCAGGCAAGGCAAUCGCUCUUCUCGUGUUAUUGUUUGAUAAAACAAGACGAGAAGAGAGGAAAGUCCGAACACCACUCAGUUUUUCUGGCUAUUUUUUUAGCCAGCAAGACGGAAAAACGGUAGCGGGUAACGCCCGUCCGGAGUAAUCCGAGAGGUGCGAACAGUGACGUCUUGGUUCUGUAAAGAGCCAGACCCCCUUUUUAAUCGCAAGAGUAAAGGGGUGAUUCCCAAUGGCAACAUUGGGGGUGAAACGGCUAAAUCCUUACCGGGGUGCAAGAGCAAAGCGGGCAGAGAAUUUUUUCUGUCCGUUAAAAGUGGCUCGCUUGACCUUGCGGGUAACUGCAAGGCUUAGAGAAAUGAUUGCCAUUCGCUUUUUUGCAAGCGAAACAGAAUUCGGCUUAUUGCCUACCUAAAUG